This 253-nucleotide ribosomal RNA is filed under the name uncultured bacterium. RNAcentral's name for it is "partial 16S ribosomal RNA". It matches the Rfam family "Bacterial small subunit ribosomal RNA", at positions 524 to 776 of the family's 1533-position model. The record is from RNAcentral.
GACGGAGGGUGCAAGCGUUGCUCGGAAUCACUGGGCGUAAAGGGUGCGUAGGCGGCUUCUUAAGUCUGACGUGAAAGCCCCGGGCUCAACCUGGGAAUUGCGCUCGAGACUGGUCUGCUUGAGUUCGGGAGAGGAGAGUGGAAUUCCCAGUGUAGAGGUGAAAUUCGUAGAUAUUGGGAAGAACACCGGUGGCGAAGGCGGGUCUCUGGGCCGAUACUGACGCUGAGGAGCGAAAGCGUGGGGAGCGAACAGG